UCAAAGUGAUCUCCCGCAGGCGGACUGCCA
Molecule: small RNA, 30 nt
Filed under: Bombyx mori (domestic silkworm)
Lineage: Eukaryota; Metazoa; Arthropoda; Insecta; Lepidoptera; Bombycidae
Description: ovarian small RNA-24462
Source: RNAcentral